GAUGAACGCUGGCGGCGUGCCUAAUACAUGCAAGUCGAGCGAACAGACGAGUAUCUUGCUCCUCUGACGUUAGCGACGGACGGGUGAGUAACACGUGGAUAACCAACCUAUAAGACUGGGAUAACUUCGGGAAACCGGAGCUAAUACCGGAUAAUAUAUUCAACCGCAUGGUUCGAUUGUGACUGACGGUUUUGCUGUCAAUUCUAGAUGGAUCCGCGCCGCUUUAGCUAGUCGGUAAGGUAAGGGCUUACCAAGGCGACGAUGCGUAGCCGACCUGAGAGGGUGAUCGGCGACACUGGAACUGAGACACGGUCCAGACUCCUACGGGAGGCAGCAGUAGGGAAUCUUCCGCGAUGGGCGAAAGGCAGACGGAGCAACGCCGGGAGGGUGAUGAAGGUAUUCGGAUCUUAAAAUUCUGUGAUUAGGGAAGAACAAAUGUGUAAGUAACUAUGCACGUCAUGACGGUACCUAAUCAAAAAGCCACGGCUAACUACGUG
RNAcentral lists this ribosomal RNA (497 nucleotides) under uncultured bacterium. RNAcentral's name for it is "partial 16S ribosomal RNA". It matches the Rfam family "Bacterial small subunit ribosomal RNA", at positions 28 to 507 of the family's 1533-position model. The record is from RNAcentral.